UCCUUAGUAGCUCAAUGGUAGAGCGGUCAACUAUUAAUUAACUGGUCGUAGGUUCAAAUCCUACUUGGGGAG
This is a non-coding RNA of Lathyrus oleraceus (garden pea), 72 nucleotides long. Lineage: Eukaryota; Viridiplantae; Streptophyta; Magnoliopsida; Fabales; Fabaceae. The record is from the annotation of a RefSeq genome assembly.